This 63-nucleotide transfer RNA is filed under the name Caballeronia cordobensis. RNAcentral describes it as "tRNA-Und (NNN) (tRNA-Und-NNN-1-1)". The record is from RNAcentral. Lineage: Bacteria; Pseudomonadati; Pseudomonadota; Betaproteobacteria; Burkholderiales; Burkholderiaceae.
AUAGGGCCGCAAAGCCUUAUGCAGCAAGGGGAGGCGGGGGUUCGAAUCCCCCUCUCUCCGCCA